AUUGAACGCUGGCGGCAUGCCUUACACAUGCAAGUCGAACGGCAGCACGGGAGCAAUCCUGGUGGCGAGUGGCGAACGGGUGAGUAAUAUAUCGGAACGUGCCCAGUCGUGGGGGAUAACGUAGCGAAAGCUACGCUAAUACCGCAUACGAUCUAUGGAUGAAAGCGGGGGAUCGCAAGACCUCGCGCGAUUGGAGCGGCCGAUAUCAGAUUAGGUAGUUGGUGGGGUAAAAGCCUACCAAGCCUUCGGUCUGUAGCUGGUCUGAGAGGACGACCAGCCACACUGGAACUGAGACACGGUCCAGACUCCUACGGGAGGCAGCAGUGGGGAAUUUUGGACAAUGGGCGCAAGCCUGAUCCAGCAAUGCCGCGUGCAGGAUGAAGGCC
RNAcentral lists this ribosomal RNA (386 nucleotides) under uncultured bacterium. RNAcentral describes it as "bacterial SSU rRNA". It matches the Rfam family "Bacterial small subunit ribosomal RNA", at positions 30 to 416 of the family's 1533-position model. The record is from RNAcentral.